RNAcentral lists this ribosomal RNA (707 nucleotides) under Propsilocerus jacuticus. RNAcentral describes it as "eukaryotic LSU rRNA". It matches the Rfam family "Eukaryotic large subunit ribosomal RNA", at positions 655 to 1287 of the family's 3401-position model. Lineage: Eukaryota; Metazoa; Arthropoda; Insecta; Diptera; Chironomidae. The record is from RNAcentral.
CUAAACACGAACCAAGGAGUCUAUCUAGUAUGCGAGUAAAUGGGUAUAUGAAACCUAUUUGCACAAAAAACUUGACUGUUAUGGGAUUACGAGUCGAAUGCUUUGCGGCAUUAGCUCUUCCAUCCCGGGGCAUUUUCAUCAACAUAUGCAGCAAUGUAUAUGGAAAAUGUACCAUGAGCAUACUGGAUAUGACCCGAAAGAUGGUGAACUAUGCCUGAUCAGGUUGAAGUCAGGGGAAACCCUGGUGGAGGACCGAAGCAGUUCUGACGUGCAAAUCGAUUGUCAGAAUUGGGCAUAGGGGCGAAAGACCAAUCGAACCAUCUAGUAGCUGGUUCCUUCCGAAGUUUCCCUCAGGAUAGCUGGAGCAUAUAAGAAUCUUUUUCUAACUCAUACCUGGUAAAGCGAAUGAUUAGAGGCCUUAGGAACGAAAUGUUCUUAACCUAUUCUCAAACUUUAAAUGGGUAUGUAAGCUAACGUACUUGAUUGACGUUGGCCUUUCAAAUUGCUCGCAAGAGUAGUCUGUAAGAUUGCAUGCGCCCAGUGGGCCAAGUUUUGGUAAGCAGAACUGGUGCUGCGGGAUGAACCGAACGCAUUGUUAAGGCGCCCAAAUAAACGACGCAUCAUUGAUACCACAAAAGUCGUUGAUUGCUGAAGACAGCAGGACGGUGGACAUGGAAGUUGUCAUCCGCAGGGAGAGGGGGGUAACA